UCAAGUUAUUAAGGGUGCAGGGCGGAUGCCUUGGCACUAGGAGCCGAUGAAGGACGUGAUAAGCUGCGAUAAGCUUCGGGGAGUUGCACGUAAACUUUGAUCCGAAGAUUUCCGAAUGAGGAAACUCACUUAGAGUAAUGUCUAAGUAUCAUUAAGUGAAUACAUAGCUUAAUGAGGGGAACUCAGGGAACUGAAACAUCUAAGUACCUGAAGGAAGAGAAAGAAAUUCGAUUCCGUAAGUAGCGGCGAGCGAACGCGGAUUAGCCCAAACCAAUAAAGUUUUCUUUAUUGGGGUUGCGGACAUAUCAUAACGAAGAGGUAUCGUAAUUGAAGAGGUUUGGAAAGACCCACCACAGAAGGUAAUAGUCCUGUAUGUUAAACGAGAAGACUUCAGAUAUGAUCCAGAGUACCACGGGACACGUGAAACCCUGUGGGAAGCAGGAGGGACCACCCUCCAAGGCUAAAUACUACCUAGUGACCGAUAGCGUAUAGUACCGUGAGGGAAAGGUGAAAAGAACCCCGGGAGGGGAGUGAAAUAGAACCUGAAACCCUGCACUUACAAGCUGUGGAAGCACAUUUCUUGUGUGACCGCGUACUUUUUGUAGAACGGGCCAACGAGUUACGUUAAGUAGCAAGGUUAAGCACUUAAGGUGUGGAGCCGUAGCGAAAGCGAGUUUUAACUGAGCGUUCAGUUACUUGACGUAGACCCGAAACCGGGCGACCUACCCAUGAGCAGGAUGAAGCGAAAGUAAAAUUUCGUGGAGGUCCGAACCCACGAGCGUUGAAAAGCUCGGGGAUGACUUGUGGGUAGCGGUGAAAUUCCAAUCGAGCCCGGAGAUAGCUGGUUCUCCCCGAAAUAGCUUUAGGGCUAGCCUCAAGGUGAGAGAUACGGAGGUAGAGCACUGAAUGUCCUAGGGGGUAUUGCACCUACCGAAGACUAUCAAACUCCGAAUGCCGUCAUCUUAUACUUGGGAGUCAGACUGUGUGUGAUAAGAUUCAUAGUCGAAAGGGCAACAGCCCAGAUCGUCAGCUAAGGUCCCUAAAUGUAAGUUAAGUGGUAAAGGAUGUGGGAUUGCACAGACAACCAGGAUGUUGGCUUAGAAGCAGCCACUCAUUCAAAGAGUGCGUAAUAGCUCACUGGUCGAGUGAUCCUGCGCCGAAGAUUUCCGGGGCUAAAACUUACUACCGAAGCUACGGCAUCAGUAAUGAUGGGUAGGGGAGCUUCCCAUACGGGUUGAAGCAUGACCGUAAGGACAUGUGGACAGUAUGGGAGUGAGAAUGUUGGCAUGAGUAGCGAGAUGUGGGUGAGAAUCCCACAGGCCGUAAACCCAAGGUUUCCAGGGGAAGGUUCGUCCGCCCUGGGUUAGUCGGGACCUAAGCUGAGGCCGAAAGGCGUAGGUGAUGGACAACAGGUUGAUAUUCCUGUACUACCGAUAACCCGUUUGAGAGAAGGGAUGACACAGUAGGAUAAGCUAAGCACACUGUUGGUUAUGUGUGCCCAAGCAUUGAGGCAGUCAAAGUAGGCAAAUCCGCUUUGAUAAUGCUGGGAUGUGAUGGGGAGCGAAAUUUAGUAGCGAAGUAGCUGAUUUCACACUGUCAAGAAAAGUCUCUAUCGAGGUUAAAGGUACCCGUACCGCAAACCGACACAGGUGGGUGAGGAGAGUAUCCUAAGGCCAGCGAGAGAACUGUUGUUAAGGAACUCGGCAAAAUGACCCCGUAACUUAGGGAUAAGGGGUGCCACCAUCAGGUGGCCGCAGAGAAUAGGCCCAAGCGACUGUUUACCAAAAACAUAGGUUUCUGCUAAGUCGCAAGACGAUGUAUAGGAGCUGACGCCUGCCCGGUGCUGGAAGGUUAAGGGGAUCUGUUAGAGCAAUCGAAGCAGUGAACUUAAGCCCCAGUAAACGGCGGCCGUAACUAUAACGGUCCUAAGGUAGCGAAAUUCCUUGUCGGGUAAGUUCCGACCCGCACGAAAGGCGUAACGAUUUGGGCACUGUCUCAACAACAGACUCGGUGAAAUUGUAAUUCCGGUGAAGAUGCCGGAUACCUGCGACAGGACGGAAAGACCCCAUGGAGCUUUACUGUAGCUUGACAUUGGGUCUUGGUACUACAUGUACAGGAUAGGUGGGAGGCUUUGAAACCAGGACGCCAGUUUUGGCGGAGCCAUCCUUGGGAUACCACCCUUGUAGUACUGGGACUCUAACCAUAGGCCAUGAAUCUGGUCUUGGGACACUGUCAGGUGGGCAGUUUGACUGGGGCGGUCGCCUCCCAAAAGGUAACGGAGGCGCUCAAAGGUUCUCUCAGUACGGUCGGAAAUCGUACGUAGAGUGUAAAGGCAAAAGAGAGCUUGAUUGCAAGACAUACAGGUCGAGCAAGGAUGAAAAUCGGACUUAGUGAUCCGGUGGUUCUGCGUGGAAGGGCCAUCGCUCAACGGAUAAAAGCUACCCUGGGGAUAACAGGCUUAUCUCCCCCAAGAGUCCACAUCGACGGGGAGGUUUGGCACCUCGAUGUCGGCUCAUCACAUCCUGGGGCUGUAGUAGGUCCCAAGGGUUGGGCUGUUCGCCCAUUAAAGUGGUACGCGAGCUGGGUUCAGAACGUCGUGAGACAGUUCGGUCCCUAUCCGUCGCAGGCGUAGGAAAUUUGAGAAGACCUGUCCUUAGUACGAGAGGACCGGGAUGGACGUACCUCUGGUGUACCAGUUGUUCUGCCAAGGGCAUGGCUGGGUAGCUAUGUACGGAAUGGAUAAGCGCUGAAAGCAUCUAAGCGCGAAGCCAACUUCAAGAUAAGAUUUCCCACCGCAAGGGUAAGACCCCAGAAAGACUAUCUGGUUGAUAGGUCGAAGGUGUAAGUGCAGCAAUGUAUUUAGCUUAUCGAUACUAAUAGGUCGAGGACUUGACCAA
RNAcentral lists this ribosomal RNA (2897 nucleotides) under Clostridioides difficile. RNAcentral's name for it is "23S ribosomal RNA". It matches the Rfam family "Bacterial large subunit ribosomal RNA". The record is from RNAcentral. Lineage: Bacteria; Bacillati; Bacillota; Clostridia; Peptostreptococcales; Peptostreptococcaceae.